This 627-nucleotide ribosomal RNA is filed under the name uncultured Acidobacteriota bacterium. Its description in RNAcentral is "bacterial SSU rRNA". It matches the Rfam family "Bacterial small subunit ribosomal RNA", at positions 71 to 714 of the family's 1533-position model. The record is from RNAcentral. Lineage: Bacteria; Pseudomonadati; Acidobacteriota.
AACUUUCCUUCGGGAAAGAUAUAAAGUGGCGCACGGGUGAGUAACACGUAGGUAAUGUACCUUUGGGUGGGGAAUAACUUAGGGAAACUUAAGCUAAUACCGCAUAAUGCAGCGGCUCCUUCGGGAGACAGUUGUUAAAGAUUUAUCGCCUAAAGAGCAGCCUGCGGCAGAUUAGCUAGUUGGUAAGGUAACGGCUUACCAAGGCUACGAUCUGUAUCCGACCUGAGAGGGUGGUCGGACACACUGACACUGAAUAACGGGUCAGACUCCUACGGGAGGCAGCAGUCGGGAAUUUUGGGCAAUGGGCGAAAGCCUGACCCAGCAACGCCGCGUGAAGGAUGAAGUCUUUCGGGAUGUAAACUUCGUAAGAAUAGGAAGAAUAAGUGACGGUACUAUUUGUAAGGUCCGGCUAACUACGUGCCAGCAGCCGCGGUAAUACGUAGGGACCAAGCGUUGUUCGGAUUUACUGGGCGUAAAGGGCGCGUAGGCGGCAAUUCAAGUCAGUUGUGAAAUCUCCGAGCUUAACUCGGAACGGUCAACUGAUACUGCUUUGCUAGAGUACAGAAGGGGCAAUCGGAAUUCUUGGUGUAGCGGUGAAAUGCGUAGAUAUCAAGAGGAACACCUGAG